This 253-nucleotide ribosomal RNA is filed under the name uncultured bacterium. RNAcentral describes it as "partial 16S ribosomal RNA". It matches the Rfam family "Bacterial small subunit ribosomal RNA", at positions 524 to 776 of the family's 1533-position model. The record is from RNAcentral.
GACGUAGGUGGCGAGCGUUGUUCGGAAUCACUGGGCAUAAAGCGCACGUAGGCGGCCAAGUCAGUCAGGUGUGAAAUCCCUCGGCUCAACCGAGGAACUGCGCCUGAUACUGCUUGGCUUGAGGUCCGGAGGGGAGAGUGGAAUUCCCGGUGGAGCGGUGAAAUGCGUAGAGAUCGGGAAGAACGCCGGCGGCGAAAGCGACUCUCUGGUCGGAAUCUGACGCUGAGGUGCGAAAGCUAGGGGAGCAAACGGG